GACGAACGCUGGCGGCGUGCUUAACACAUGCAAGUCGAACGGACAGGCCCUGCUUUUGUGGGGUGCUCGAGUGGCGAACGCGUGAGUAACACGUGAUUAACCUGCCCUUACCUUUGGGAUAACUUCAUGAUACUGGGUCUAAUACCGGAUAGGAGCUCCUGCUGCAUGGUGGGUCUUGGAAAGUUUCGGCGGUUGGGUAUGGACUCGCGGCGUCUCAGCUUGUUGGUGGGGUAGUGGCUUACCAAGGCUUUGACGGGUAGCCGGCCUGAGAGGGGGACCGGACACGUUGGGACUGAGAUACGGCACAGACUAGUACGGGAGGCAGCAGUGGGGAAUAUUGCACAAUGGGCGGAAGCCUGAUGCAGCAAAGCCGCGUGGGGGAUGACGGCCUUCGGGUUGGAAACCGAUUUCGCCUGUGACGAAGCGUGAGUGACGGUAAUGGGGAAAGAAGCACCGGCUAACUACGUG
This 468-nucleotide ribosomal RNA is filed under the name uncultured bacterium. RNAcentral's name for it is "partial 16S ribosomal RNA". It matches the Rfam family "Bacterial small subunit ribosomal RNA", at positions 28 to 507 of the family's 1533-position model. The record is from RNAcentral.